This 301-nucleotide ribosomal RNA is filed under the name uncultured bacterium. Its description in RNAcentral is "partial 16S ribosomal RNA". It matches the Rfam family "Bacterial small subunit ribosomal RNA", at positions 509 to 807 of the family's 1533-position model. The record is from RNAcentral.
CAGUAGCCACGGGAAUACGGAGGGGGCUAGCGUUGUUCGGAUUUACUGGGCGUAAAGCGCAUGUAGGCGGAUCGAUCAGUCAGGGGUGAAAUCCCAGAGCUCAACUCUGGAACUGCCUUUGAUACUGUCGAUCUGGAGUAUGGAAGAGGUGAGUGGAAUUCCGAGUGUAGAGGUGAAAUUCGUAGAUAUUCGGAGGAACACCAGUGGCGAAGGCGGCUUACUGGCUCAUACUGGACGCUGAGGUGCGAAAGCGUGGGGAGCAAACAGGAUUAGAUACCCCCGUAGUCCCUGUCUCUUAUAC